UACCGGCGGCUCGAGUGGUGGCCACUAUUACUGGGCUUAAAGGGUCCGUAGCUUGAUAUGCAAGUCUUUUGAGAAAUCCGCCAGCUUAACUGGCGGGCGUUCAGGGGAAACUGCAUUUCUUGGGACCGGGAGAGGUGAGAGGUACUGCCGGGGUAGGAGUGAAAUCCUGUAAUCCCGGUGGGACCACCUAUAGCGAAGGCAUCUCACCAGAACGGGUCCGACAGUGAGGGACGAAAGCUGGGGGAGCAAA
This 250-nucleotide ribosomal RNA is filed under the name uncultured archaeon. RNAcentral's name for it is "partial 16S ribosomal RNA". It matches the Rfam family "Archaeal small subunit ribosomal RNA", at positions 474 to 723 of the family's 1478-position model. The record is from RNAcentral.